AUUGAACGCUGGCGGCAGGCCUAACACAUGCAAGUCGAGCGGAUGAAGGGAGCUUGCUCCUGGAUUCAGCGGCGGACGGGUGAGUAAUGCCUAGGAAUCUGCCUGGUAGUGGGGGAUAACGUCCGGAAACGGGCGCUAAUACCGCAUACGUCCUGAGGGAGAAAGUGGGGGAUCUUCGGACCUCACGCUAUCAGAUGAGCCUAGGUCGGAUGAGCUAGUUGGUGGGGUAAAGGCCUACCAAGGCGACGAUCCGUAACUGGUCUGAGAGGAUGAUCAGUCACACUGGAACGGAGACACGGUCCAGACUCCUACGGGAGGAAGCAGUGGGGAAUAUUGGACAAUGGGCGAAAGCCUGAGCCAGCCAUGCCGCGGGGGUGAAGAAGGGCUUCGGAUUGUAAAGCACGUUAAGUGGGGAGGAAGGGCAGUAAGUUAAUACCUUGCUGUUUUGACGUUACCAACAGAAUAGGCACCGGCUAACUUCGU
This 483-nucleotide ribosomal RNA is filed under the name uncultured bacterium. RNAcentral's name for it is "partial 16S ribosomal RNA". It matches the Rfam family "Bacterial small subunit ribosomal RNA", at positions 30 to 506 of the family's 1533-position model. The record is from RNAcentral.